This 77-nucleotide transfer RNA is filed under the name Syntrophobacteraceae bacterium. RNAcentral's name for it is "tRNA-Pro". It matches the Rfam family "tRNA". From Rfam's summary of the family: Transfer RNA (tRNA) molecules are approximately 80 nucleotides in length. Their secondary structure includes four short double-helical elements and three loops (D, anti-codon, and T loops). The record is from RNAcentral. Lineage: Bacteria; Pseudomonadati; Thermodesulfobacteriota; Syntrophobacteria; Syntrophobacterales; Syntrophobacteraceae.
CAGUGUGUAGCUCAGAUUGGUAGAGCGCAUGCUCGGGGUGCAUGAGGCCGGGAGUUCGAGUCUCCCCACACUGACCA